GGGUCGAUAGCUCAGUUGGUUAGAGCAAGGCGCUCAUAACGCCUGGGUCCACGGUUCGAGUCCGUGUCGACCCACCA
This 77-nucleotide transfer RNA is filed under the name Lachnospiraceae bacterium OttesenSCG-928-E19. RNAcentral's name for it is "tRNA-Ile". It matches the Rfam family "tRNA". From Rfam's summary of the family: Transfer RNA (tRNA) molecules are approximately 80 nucleotides in length. Their secondary structure includes four short double-helical elements and three loops (D, anti-codon, and T loops). The record is from RNAcentral. Lineage: Bacteria; Bacillati; Bacillota; Clostridia; Lachnospirales; Lachnospiraceae.